CCUACGGGAGGCAGCAGUAGGGAAUCUUCCACAAUGGGCGAAAGCCUGAUGGAGCAACGCCGCGUGGGUGAAGAAGGUCUUCGGAUCGUAAAACCCUGUUGUUAGAGAAGAAAGUGCGUGAGAGUAACUGUUCACGUUUCGACGGUAUCUAACCAGAAAGCCACGGCUAACUACGUGCCAGCAGUCGCGGUAAUACGUAGGUGGCAAGCGUUAUCCGGAUUUAUUGGGCGUAAAGGGAACGCAGGCGGUCUUUUAAGUCUGAUGUGAAAGCCUCGGCUUAACCGGAGUAGUGCAUUGGAAACUGGGAGACGUGAGUGCAGAAGAGGAGAGUGGAACUCCAUGUGUAGCGGUGAAAUGCGUAGAGAUAUGGAAGAACACCAGUGGCGAAAGCGGCUCUCUGGUCUGUAACUGACGCUGAGGUUCGAAAGCGUGGGUAGCAAACAGGAUUAGAUACCCCUGUAGUC
RNAcentral lists this ribosomal RNA (464 nucleotides) under uncultured bacterium. Its description in RNAcentral is "partial 16S ribosomal RNA". It matches the Rfam family "Bacterial small subunit ribosomal RNA", at positions 338 to 795 of the family's 1533-position model. The record is from RNAcentral.